CUUAACCUCCAGGGCCCCUGGACCAUGGCUGAGGGUAGGUAGGGCUGGUUCAUGGGUCACAUUAGAGUCCACAGCUGAAGAGGUCUAUAUAUCGUUACCUCCUGUACAGGGCUGUGCACUGAAAGCUGAACUCAAGAUAAAGUAUGCAUGUAACACGGUCAGAAUAAGAGCAAGAAAUAUUAGAGGAUGAAGACACAAAGACAUGCUCUUCUCUGCUUCUUGUCCCCACCGCUACUGUGCAGGUCCAUGGUCUCCGUUAAUAUGCUCACUAGAAUUUAUACAACCUGAGCAGACACCAUCUUGACUUUGUAGCUUUCCUUUAUACCAAACAAUGGUAAACCAGGAUGACGUGUCAGGAAUCACUACCUCUCCUAGGAGCUUCAGUGUUCGGAUCAGUGUUGGUGAUUGAAUGAGGAUCUGAAUAUUGUUAAGCCCUCUGGAAGCUAACGACACAAAAGAUUUCCACACACACAAAAAACAGGAGGUAUAACUGUGGUCUAUAAAGGACUAGCCACAUCCAGAUCUUACUGCUCUAUUUGAAUAAUGGUGACCUCAAAACCCAUAUGUGCAAUUUGUCAAGAAUGAAACCUGAACACAU
Molecule: long non-coding RNA, 598 nt
Organism: Herpailurus yagouaroundi (jaguarundi)
Lineage: Eukaryota; Metazoa; Chordata; Mammalia; Carnivora; Felidae
Exons: 3
Source: RefSeq, a predicted model, not a curated record